GAUGAACGCUGGCGGCGUGCCUAAUACAUGCAAGUCGAGCGAACAGAUGAGGAGCUUGCUCCUCUGACGUUAGCGGCGGACGGGUGAGUAACACGUGGAUAACCUACCUAUAAGACUGGGAUAACUUCGGGAAACCGGAGCUAAUACCGUAUAAUAUAUUGAACCGCAUGGUUCAAUAGUGAAAGACGGUUUUGCUGUCACUUAUAGAUGGAUCCGCGCCGCAUUAGCUAGUUGGUAAGGUAACGGCUUACCAAGGCAACGAUCCGUAGCCGACCUGGGAGGGUGACCGGCCACACGGGAACUGGGACACGGUCCAGACUCCUACGGGAGGCAGCAGUAGGGAAUCUUCCGCAAUGGGCGAAAGCCUGACGGAGCAACGCCGCGUGAGUGAUGAAGGUCUUCGGAUCUUAAACCUCUGUUAUUAGGGAAGAACAAAUGUGUAAGUAACUAUGCACGUCUUGACGGUACCUAAUCAGAAAGCCACGGCUAACUACGUG
RNAcentral lists this ribosomal RNA (497 nucleotides) under uncultured bacterium. RNAcentral's name for it is "partial 16S ribosomal RNA". It matches the Rfam family "Bacterial small subunit ribosomal RNA", at positions 28 to 507 of the family's 1533-position model. The record is from RNAcentral.